This 253-nucleotide ribosomal RNA is filed under the name uncultured bacterium. RNAcentral's name for it is "partial 16S ribosomal RNA". It matches the Rfam family "Bacterial small subunit ribosomal RNA", at positions 524 to 776 of the family's 1533-position model. The record is from RNAcentral.
UACGGAGGGGGCUAGCGUUGGUCGGAAUUACUGGGCGUAAAGCGCACGUAGGCGGCUUUGUAAGUUAGAGGUGAAAGCCUGGGGCUCAACUCCAGAAUUGCCUUUAAGACUGCAUCGCUUGAAUCGCGGAGAGGUGAGUGGAAUUCCGAGUGUAGAGGUGAAAUUCGUAGAUAUUCGGAAGAACACCAGUGGCGAAGGCGGCUCACUGGACGCGUAUUGACGCUGAGGUGCGAAAGCGUGGGGAGCAAACAGG